Molecule: non-coding RNA, 816 nt
Organism: Pocillopora verrucosa
Lineage: Eukaryota; Metazoa; Cnidaria; Anthozoa; Scleractinia; Pocilloporidae
Source: RefSeq, a predicted model, not a curated record
UGUGGAUAAAAUGAGAGUACUCUAUGCUGGACUAAAAGUUUGGUUAUUUGAUUAUUCGAGUUUAUUUAGCGUUUUAUUUGUUUGUAACUUGGCAGAGGUAGCCCCUUCAUCAUGUAUGCUUAUGGGGCGUUGGCUGAAGUGCUUUGCUUGACUGCAAGCUGCCAGGCUGGGACAAUCUGCAGUGUACAGAACAUUGAACUAACAAUUGAAUGAAGGUCAAAUGUCUGAUGGGUGAAUAAGUGGGCCAACUAAAAGAUUCAAGCAGAUCAAUCCUGAUGAUGUUUGCUUUCCUCUGUGAUCAAGCUGUUUUAUGAACCAGCCUGGACUGAAAAUAAAAAAACCGAAGCCUUAACUUGUGGUGCCCAAUUUUCAGCUUAUCGCCAUUGAAAGCAAGGAUAGAUGCUGAGUCCACCAGCCUGGCCUUACUCUAUCACACAAACUUCAUCAUGGAGCACAAGUCACUAUAUGAGGUCAUCGAUAAGGAUGCCGAUUACAGAAGCCCUCUCCAAUUUGGAAACAAACUGAUAACAUCUCUGAUGCUCCAAGCGCAAAUGAAACAAGGACGUCUCUGAUCCCAGUAGAAGACAGGAUUUUUUUCGAAAGUUUCAACCAGAUUUAGCACAUUUCUUUCAAGCAUCUGGCGAGACAGGCCAGGAAGAAUUUGUCAAACGUAAGCAAAAGCAAACGUUAUUUCGUAAUUUUAUGUAGAGCUGUUUUGAAAUUUCCCCCCCGAAAAAAUACGGUUGCUUAAACACGCAUGCGCUAGUUAUUUUGAUGAUUGCAUCUCUAUAACAUCUGUUUGAAAAUAGUUAAAUU